CGAGUGGCGGACGGGUGAGUAAUGUCUGGGAAACUGCCUGAUGGAGGGGGGAUAACUACUGGAAACGGUAGCUAAUACCGCAUAACGUCGCAAGACCAAAGAGGGGGACCUUCGGGCCUCUUGCCAUCGGAUGUGCCCAGAUGGGAUUAGCUAGUAGGUGGGGUAACGGGCUCACCUAGGCGACGAUCCCUAGCUGGUCUGAGAGGAUGACCAGCCACACUGGAACUGAGACACGGUCCAGACUCCUACGGGAGGCAGCAUG
This 262-nucleotide ribosomal RNA is filed under the name uncultured bacterium. Its description in RNAcentral is "partial 16S ribosomal RNA". It matches the Rfam family "Bacterial small subunit ribosomal RNA", at positions 92 to 353 of the family's 1533-position model. The record is from RNAcentral.